UGGAUCCAGACUUUGAUUCUGGCUCAGGACGAACGCUGGCGGCGUGCCUAACACAUGCAAGUCGAACGAAGCUUGACGAAUGAUUUCUUCGGAAUGAAUUCUGAUAUGACUUAGUGGCGGACGGGUGAGUAACACGUGAGCAACCUGCCUUUCAGAGAGGAAUAACGGCUGGAAACGGUCGCUAAUACCUCAUAACGUAUAUUUAAGGCAUCUUAGAUAUACCAAAGAUUUAUCGCUGAAAGAUGGGCUCGCGUCUGAUUAGAUAGUUGGUGAGGUAACGGCUCACCAAGUCGACGAUCAGUAGCCGGACUGAGAGGUUGAACGGCCACAUUGGGACUGAGACACGGCCCAGACUCCUACGGGAGGCAGCAGUGGGGAAUAUUGCACAAUGGGCGCAAGCCUGAUGCAGCAACGCCGCGUGAGGGAAGACGGUUUUCGGAUUGUAAACCUUUGUCUUUGGUGAAGAAGAAAGUGACGGUAACCAAGGAGGAAGCCACGGCUAACUACGUGCCAGCAGCCGCGGUAAUACGUAGGUGGCAAGCGUUGUCCGGAAUUACUGGGUGUAAAGGGAGCGCAGGCGGGACUGCAAGUUGGAUGUGAAAUACCGAGGCUCAACCUCGGAGCUGCAUCCAAAACUGUAGUUCUUGAGUGAAGUAGAGGUAGGCGGAAUUCCGAGUGUAGCGGUGAAAUGCGUAGAUAUUCGGAGGAACACCAGUGGCGAAGGCGGCCUACUGGGCUUUAACUGACGCUGAGGCUCGAAAGUGUGGGGAGCAAACAGGAUUAGAUACCCUGGUAGUCCACACUGUAAACGAUGAUAGCUAGGUGUGGGGGGCCUGACCCCUUCCGUGCCGGAGUUAACGCAAUAAGCUAUCCACCUGGGGAGUACGGCCGCAAGGUUGCAACUCAAAUGAAUUGACGGA
This 920-nucleotide ribosomal RNA is filed under the name uncultured Bacillota bacterium. RNAcentral describes it as "bacterial SSU rRNA". It matches the Rfam family "Bacterial small subunit ribosomal RNA", at positions 1 to 917 of the family's 1533-position model. The record is from RNAcentral. Lineage: Bacteria; Bacillati; Bacillota.